GGGAAUUUCAGAGAAACCACAAAACACAAAAUAGGAAACAGAGACAGGAGAAGAUUGCUAUGACAAAAUUGCAGAAGGUGAAAUCUUUGGCAGCCUCUUAUUUCUCUGGAGAAUAUGAUAUUGUCAGGCUGAGGUGGAAGAAUCACAUGGUCAUACUGUUGAAGAGGUCUUGAAACAUUGAGCUUUCCUCUACAAGCAGAAGGAUAGCACUGGCAGCCAUCCACUGGCCCACCAAUAUCCUGGAUUGAGACGAUAUCAUUUGCAUUACUUGCUGAAUGAAACAUAGUGAAAAUGACUGCAGAUAACCUCAACUAAGUCCAAGAUACCAUUUUCAAAUCUGGACCAGCCCUUGCCAUCUAGACUGAACAGAGAUUCCAGUUUCCAGGAGAGUAGAUGGAGUAAUGAUAAAAGCACCUCCCAAAACUUUUGCCUUGGUAGGUUUUAGAUUCAGGAGAUAUCCGGGUUUCCAUUCCCUUCAAAUUUUCAAUGACAGUGACUUCCAGUUCCCCACAAAUUUCCCUUGAUUUCCUGACCAUAGAGCCACAUAUUCAUGUUCUUUCCAUCCAUAUAUUAAUACAUGGGUAUAAGCCAAGGUAUAGGACUUCAAGCACUUUGCAUGGAUGCCCAGUCCAUCUCACUGACUGUGUAUUCUCAAAGCUUACCACUGGGCCUUAAGCCCUUUAUUGAAUGUAAAGCAUUCAAUAAGAGUUUAAGGGCUCUUUUCUUUAUUUCUGCCACAUCCAGAAUGCUUGGUUUAGUUAGGAUCUGAAGAGGAAUUGUAUUUAAACAUCUCAUUUAGACCCUUCUAAGGAAAAUGCCAAGAAAAGAAGGUUGUGAUCUUUUUCUUGGUAGUUUCAUAAUAGAAAGUCUUAAGAACAGUUACAGUUGUUG
Molecule: long non-coding RNA, 891 nt
Filed under: Pan troglodytes (chimpanzee)
Lineage: Eukaryota; Metazoa; Chordata; Mammalia; Primates; Hominidae
Description: long non-coding RNA NONPTRT007759
Source: RNAcentral